RNAcentral lists this long non-coding RNA (771 nucleotides) under Marmota monax (woodchuck). The record is from RNAcentral. Lineage: Eukaryota; Metazoa; Chordata; Mammalia; Rodentia; Sciuridae.
AAUGUUUUUAGGUUUUAUAAUAUUACCUUUAAACCAAUCAGACUCUCCUUAUUAUCUCAAAAAAUGCAUUUAAAUUCCAGUUCCAGUGUGAAGAGUAACUCAAAAUUGUAUGUAUAACUUAUUGACAACAGGUUUCUUUAUCCAGCUAUAAAACAUUAAAUGACCUGAAUAAAUACCAACCCAACUUGUUACUUCUGUACAAAUCUGAGACUUUUGUUACAGAUGAUUUUAGUUUGGAGAACACCAACUUGGCAAAGUGUUCCCAUAAAUUUUACAUCUAACUAAGACAACCUUGUCAUUUUGCAAUAAGUAAUUUCUUUCUUCCUUUUUUUAACUUUGAAGAAAUUUUUGAUCCAAGGUUUCUUAUUUGGGCCAUUGGUAGAGGUUAUCUAAUUUGUACUUUGGCCACAUUUGAGUACUGAGCCUAAUGAGGUGUUUGAUUUUGAGACCAUUAUGGGAAUAGAGGGUUUUAAAAUUGGCAGAGACAAGGCAAGUGGGUGUCUCUGGGAAUUGACUGAGCAGUUCCCAUCUUUGGAGAGGCUUGAGGGGAGAGGAGAGGAUUAGAUAAAUACCACGCCAGGUGAGGUCACAGCACUGGGUCAGACAUGGAGCCCUUUGGUGACAGAAUCAGGAUCUGUGGUGUAGGAUCCGAGGGGUUUUCCACCUGUGAGCAGUCUGAGAGGCAGAGGGGACAUGGACUCUGAGGAUCCCUUCUGCUCCAGAGGCCUCCCUAAGGGGGAGGACAGGAGUAGGCUGGGAAGAUUGGAGGGG